Molecule: long non-coding RNA, 524 nt
Filed under: Ananas comosus (pineapple)
Lineage: Eukaryota; Viridiplantae; Streptophyta; Magnoliopsida; Poales; Bromeliaceae
Description: long non-coding RNA (ACOM_LNC033188)
Source: RNAcentral
AUCAACUUUUAAUCACAUACAUGCAUGCAACUUAUUCAUUUACAUUCUUUUCUUUAGCAUCAUUUCUUCUCUUUUACAUCACAUGAUACCUCAAAAUAUAACCUUUUGCAUUCAAAUAUAAAAUCUUUUACGCCGUUCAUGUUCUUUCAUUUAAACAUAUAUAAUCAUCAAAAUACAAAAGAUGAUAUAAAGCGUAUGUAACUUGUAAGGUACCAGAUUUCUAAAAUAAUGAAGUUACGGUGUAUAUUGAUUUGGAGAGCCAUUGGAAUGGUUUCGGUGAAGUUUGGAAGUAGUCGGGCGUUUUCGGAGCGCGUAGGCGCGAAAACGGAACCCGAAAGGCUAUGUUGGACCAUGGAGUAAAUCCGGCAUUAGCGUGGAUGAAAAGAUGAUGAAAACAUGCUCGAAAAUAUGUUUGGAGAGUCUCGAUUCGAUUUGAAAAGAAUCGGAGGCCAAACGAGCGAAAACGAGCGAAAACGGAGUGAAAACGAAAAAGGCUGAAAUUUGGCUAAGUCUGAAAAUUAAGA